This 484-nucleotide ribosomal RNA is filed under the name uncultured bacterium. RNAcentral describes it as "partial 16S ribosomal RNA". It matches the Rfam family "Bacterial small subunit ribosomal RNA", at positions 29 to 507 of the family's 1533-position model. The record is from RNAcentral.
AUUGAACGCUGGCGGCAUGCUUUACACAUGCAAGUCGAACGGCAGCGCGGGCUUCGGCCUGGCGGCGAGUGGCGAACGGGUGAGUAAUACAUCGGAACGUGCCCAGUAGUGGGGGAUAGCUCGGCGAAAGCCGGAUUAAUACCGCAUACGACCUGAGGGUGAAAGCGGGGGAUCUUCGGACCUCGCGCUAUUGGAGCGGCCGAUGGCAGAUUAGCUAGUUGGUGGGGUAAAGGCCUACCAAGGCGACGAUCUGUAGCUGGUCUGAGAGGACGACCAGCCACACUGGGACUGAGACACGGCCCAGACUCCUACGGGAGGCAGCAGUGGGGAAUUUUGGACAAUGGGCGAAAGCCUGAUCCAGCAAUGCCGCGUGUGUGAUGAAGGCCUUCGGGUUGUAAAGCACUUUUGGCGGGAACUAAAAGGACUGUGCCGAUACCACGGUUCGAUGACGGUACCCGCAGAAUAAGCACCGGCUAACUACGUG